Small RNA from Acetivibrio ethanolgignens, 151 nucleotides. It matches the Rfam family "Clostridiales-1 RNA". NCBI's taxonomy places the organism in Bacteria, Bacillati, Bacillota, Clostridia, Acetivibrionales, Acetivibrionaceae. The record is from Rfam.
UGAUACAAGGGCGAAAAGCCUGUGCGUUUUAUGCUAGCAUAAAAAAGCACAGAUUUGGAGCCCGCAACGUCUGAGAAAGUAGCCCGUUAGGGCGGAUUUCGAAGAGGUUAGAGCUGUGGGAGUGCGUAGCACGGAGCAGCUCGUAGUAUCA